RNAcentral lists this transfer RNA (73 nucleotides) under Candidatus Peribacteria bacterium. Its description in RNAcentral is "tRNA-Thr". It matches the Rfam family "tRNA". Rfam says of the family: Transfer RNA (tRNA) molecules are approximately 80 nucleotides in length. Their secondary structure includes four short double-helical elements and three loops (D, anti-codon, and T loops). Further hydrogen bonds mediate the characteristic L-shaped molecular structure. tRNAs have two regions of fundamental functional importance: the anti-codon, which is responsible for specific mRNA codon recognition, and the 3' end, to which the tRNAs corresponding amino acid is attached (by aminoacyl-tRNA synthetases). tRNAs cope with the degeneracy of the genetic code in two manners: having more than one tRNA (with a specific anti-codon) for a particular amino acid; and 'wobble' base-pairing, i.e. permitting non-standard base-pairing at the 3rd anti-codon position. The record is from RNAcentral. Lineage: Bacteria; Candidatus Peregrinibacteriota; Candidatus Peribacteria.
GCCAGCUUAGCUCAGUCGGUAGAGCAUCGGUAUCGUAAACCGGGGGUCGCGAGUUCAAAUCUCGCAGCUGGCU